GUCCUGUUGCUGCUGGGAGAGCCUGGCUAAUAUAGCCUGAAACCAACGGGGCACCCAGCCUUUUCCCGAGGGGCGCUGUGUGCACGUUGGGUCCGGCCCUCGACACCCAGCCAGACGGGUGCCAGCUCUGCUCCUGCUCUCGCUUCCUGCUGGCCCGGGGCCUCAAGGUCAGCCCGAGGUGACAGCAUCGCCCCUGAGUCUGCCCCCAGCCCUGGGCACGUGGCCAGGCUUCUGCAUGCAUAACGGCGCUAGCAGCACGUGAAAGAACUUUUCCUCCUUAGCUGGGUCGGGAACACGGGGAGGACUCGGCGCGUUGAGGUCACACAGACGGUAACUGGUGCCCACCGAGACCACGGCACCUGCAAGUCCUGGCAGGGAGUGCAACACGGGACAGAGCUGCCACGCCCCUCAUUGCUGGCACUUCCUGCUCAGCACAGACCUGCGGGGAGGGUGGGUUUGGUGUUUUUUGAUAGACUAUCUAGCACAGCCUGUUGUUGUCACCCUGCCUGGCUGCCGGUGUCAGCACUCACACCCGGCAUCCUUGCCUGGGGCUGUCACCCCUGGGUGCAGGCCCCUUUGCUCAACCCUCUCCCCAAGCCAAGAGCCCCACAUGUGGGUCUGAAAACCUCCUCCCGCCUCUCCUCAGCCCCUGGGGGGCUCUCCCAGGAUACGCCAGGGUGCGAGAGGACUGGGCAGCCCACGGGUGAGCAGAGGAGGGUCACAUCCAGGGGACUAGGGACUUCCAGAAUUGGCCUCCAGGCCAGCCACAGACUACACGACCAGCCCCACCGAGGUCUGCUGAGGGGAACAGACCUUGUCCCCACUGAGGCCAGUUUCCCAGAAGGCCAGUUGCUCCCAAAACUGGCCCAAGGCUGGUUUGCAGGGACUUCUGUGCAACUGACCUCUCCCCUCCCAGACUCAGGACUGGGAUGCAGCUGCAGGGGGCGCCAGCCAGGCACAAAGACCGGUGAUUUCUCCAUCAAAGGUCUUGCUCCAGGCCCAGGUCCUACUGCCUCCCAACCACCCCCCACACACACACACACUGCCAGGGGCGCACUUCUCUUCUUAACAGCUCACUCCCAGGUGUGUGCGAGGGCCUCUCCCGUCUCCCUCCCCAAGAGGCCACUGUCUUCCCUUGCGGUCUCCUCCACCUGGGAUUCACAUUCCCUUUCCAGACAUCUAGCAUUUUCUUCACAGCAGAUUCCCAAAGACGAAUGACCCUGGCCUCUGGGACAGGCCGCAUUGCAUGCUUUCAAGGGCAAAAACGGCGCAGCUGCAAUUAGACAAUCACCAGACUCAGCCCCUGCCAGCGCCAGUGCCUCAGACGCAGCCAGGGCCUCUGUCCUGC
Molecule: long non-coding RNA, 1348 nt
Filed under: Oryctolagus cuniculus (rabbit)
Lineage: Eukaryota; Metazoa; Chordata; Mammalia; Lagomorpha; Leporidae
Description: lncRNA (ENSOCUG00000038612.1)
Source: RNAcentral